UAGUCCACACCGUAAACGAUGAAUGCCAGACGUCGGGCAGUAUACUGUUCGGUGUCACACCUAACGCAUUAAGCAUUCCACCUGGGGAGUACGAUCGCAAGAUUGAAACUCAAAGGAAUUGACGGGGGCCCGCACAAGCGGUGGAGCAUGUGGUUUAAUUCGAAGCAACGCGAAGAACCUUACCAAAUCUUGACAUCCCAAUGACCGGUUUUAAUCGAACCUUUUCUUCGGAACAUUGGUGACAGGUGGUGCAUGGUUGUCGUCAGCUCGUGUCGUGAGAUGUUCGGUUAAGUCCGGCAACGAGCGCAACCCACAUCUUUAGUUGCCAGCAGUUCGGCUGGGCACUCUAAAGAAACUGCCCGUGAUAAGCGGGAGGAAGGUGUGGAUGACGUCAAGUCCUCAUGGGCCCUUACGGGGUUGGGGCUACACACGUGCUACAAU
RNAcentral lists this ribosomal RNA (441 nucleotides) under uncultured bacterium. RNAcentral describes it as "bacterial SSU rRNA". It matches the Rfam family "Bacterial small subunit ribosomal RNA", at positions 791 to 1231 of the family's 1533-position model. The record is from RNAcentral.